UAAAAAAACAGAAGGCUUUAAAGAAAGUGUUAUCAUAAUAUUCAUUUAUUAAGUAAGAUUUUAGUUCUUUCAAUUUUUUAAAUAAUUACUUAUAUACUAAUCAUUAUUUUGUCAGUAUUUAGCUUUUUAUUUGUUUUUCAAUUAAUGAAAGUGUUACAAAUUUCAGCACACUUGAAUUAAUACUUUAUCUUUUAUUGUAAAAAAAAAAAAAAAAAAACACAUAAUCAGUAAUUUCUAUUGUUUAAAUAAAAUGAAACUCAUUUUACUUUUUUGUGUAAUAUUUUACUUAUAUGCUUUUAAUGGAGUGUUACUCCGAGCAGAAGUAUCUAAUAAUGAAUCAGAUGAUAUUUUUCAAACAGUUAUAGAAUCAGCUAUUUUUGCGUUAUAUAAAGCAGCUGAUGCAGUAGAUAAAGCAAUCAAUUUGAAAUAUAAGGAAAGUUUAGAAACAGAGGGAAGCGAAACUCUUAGUGCUGUAUCUAUUGCAAAUGAGAUUAUAGAAUUAAAAAAUGUAGUGUAUACAACACUUAAGAACAUUCAGGAUCUUGAAAAUAUAGCAAAAAUAGGAGCUGGUAUUACAGAAAAACCAAAAGAAAAUAAUAAUGAAAACGAUAUAAUCAAGGAUGAUAAUACAGAACAACAGCAUCUUAGAGGACUUGAACAAGAUGAUGAUAAACAUAAGAAACAUACUAGUUCUAAAAAAUCGGCUAUAUCUAUACAAAUUGAAAAGGCAGAACAAGAAGCUAAAAAGGUAAUUGAAACAGCCAAAAACAUAGAGGAUGAAUUAGAUAAUGCACAUGAAGGAGAGAUGUAUGGUGACGCUGUUAAAGCAACAGAAGCAGCUAUUAGAGGUGACGCAUACUUAAAGAAAAUGAAUGAACACUUAAAAAAAGCAUUAUAUCAUGUAAAACUCGCUGAAACAUAUAGCGAUUUAGUAGAUGAAGCACAUAAACAAGCAAAUGAAACUUUAACAUUUGCUAAUUUUACAAAAACAAUUGCUGUAAAUCUUGAAAGUGUGAUAGAAGGCAAAAUUGAUGACGCUAUUGAUUUAGUAAAAGAGUUUACUGAGAUUGCAAAAAAUGCCGCAAAUGAUAGCCAACUAGCUGCAGAAGCUGCUAAAGUUGCAUACAACGUUGAUGAUAUAUUUAUAUAUACACACAGUUCUAUACACGCAGCUAAUAAAGCUAUUACUGCUUAUACUAAAGUAGGCCAUAUUGCAAAAGCAGCUAUAAAACUAGUUAAAUUAUCUGUAAGUAAAGAAAUGGUUGAAAAAAUGAAAGAAUUAAUGGAAUUUGUAGUUACAGCUAAAGCAUAUAGAGAUGUGGCUAAAAAUUUUGCUAAACAUGCAAUACAAAUUGCAGAAACACAUAAAAUAAAACCGGACGUAGUUCUUAUAGAGAGCAGCGACAAUAAACAUAAUAUACAAAAAAAAAAAGAUGGUAAAAAUUCAGUACAUACCAAUAAUAGAAUGUUAGCGGAAAAAGAAGUUGAAGAAGAAGUUAAAGAAGAAGUUAAAGAAGAAGUUAAAGAAGAAGUUGAAGAAGCAGUUGAAGAAGAAGUUAAAGAAGAAGUUAAAGAAGUAGUUGAAGAAGAAGUUAAAGAAGCAGUUGAAGAAGAAGUUAAAGAAGUAGUUAAAGAAGAAGUUAAAGAAGCAGUUGAAGAAGAAGUUAAAGAAGAAGUUAAAGAAGAAGUUGAAGAAGAAGUUGAAGAAGCAGUUGAAGAAGCAGUUGAAGAAGAAGUUAAAG
RNAcentral lists this long non-coding RNA (1742 nucleotides) under Piliocolobus tephrosceles (Ugandan red Colobus). RNAcentral's name for it is "lncRNA (ENSPTEG00000002540.1)". Lineage: Eukaryota; Metazoa; Chordata; Mammalia; Primates; Cercopithecidae. The record is from RNAcentral.